This 407-nucleotide ribosomal RNA is filed under the name uncultured bacterium. RNAcentral's name for it is "partial 16S ribosomal RNA". It matches the Rfam family "Bacterial small subunit ribosomal RNA", at positions 28 to 526 of the family's 1533-position model. The record is from RNAcentral.
GACGAACGCUGGCGGCGUGCCUAAUACAUGCAAGUAGGACGCAGUUGCGAACGGGUGAGUAACGCGUAGGUAACUACCUAUUAGUGGGGGAUAAAUGUUUGAAACGAUAGCUAAUACCGCAUACUAGUAGAUGGAACUGCGUUGGAUUAGCUAGGAGGUAGGGUAAUGGCCUACCUAGGCAACGCUACAUAGCCGAACUGGGACGGUGAUACGCCACACUGGGACUGAGACAAGGCCAAGGCUCCUACGGGAGGCAGCAGUAGGGAAACUUAGGCAAUUGGGGGAACCCUGAACGAGCAACGGCAGGGGAGGGAAGAAGGUUCUUGGAUCGUAAAGCUCUGUUGUUAAGGGAGCGGUACUUAAACAGAAAGGGACGGCUAACUACGUGCCAGCAGCCGCGGUAAUAC